Molecule: ribosomal RNA, 543 nt
Filed under: uncultured archaeon
Lineage: Archaea
Description: bacterial SSU rRNA
Rfam family: Archaeal small subunit ribosomal RNA
Source: RNAcentral
CAGCAGGCGCGAAAACUCCACACUGUACGACAGUACGAUGGGGCUAUCUCGAGUGCAGUCCGAUAAGGGCUGCUUUUCCAUAGAGUAAUAUCCUGUGGGAAUAAGAGGGGGGCAAGACUGGUGUCAGCCGCCGCGGUAACACCAGCCCCUCGAGUGGUGGGGACUAUUAUUUGGUCUAAAGCGUCCGUAGCUGGCUGUAUCCGUCCCCCGUUAAAUCCAGCGUCCUAAACGUUGGACUGCGGGUGAUACCAUACAGCUAGAGGGUGGGAUAGGUGAGCGGUAUUUCUGGGGUAGGGGCGAAAUCCUUUGAUCCCAGGAGGACCACCAGUGGCGAAGGCUGCUCACUAGAACACGCCUGACGGUCAGGGACAAAAGCUGGGGCAGCGAACCGGAUUAGAUACCCGGGUAGUCCCAGCUGUAAACGAUGCUGCUAGGUGUUGGGUCGGCCACGCGCCGCCCCAGUGCCGCAGGGAAGCCGUUAAGCUAGCCACCUGGGGAGUACGGCCGCAAGGCUGAAACUUAAAGGAAUUGGCGGGGGAGCAC